Molecule: ribosomal RNA, 468 nt
Filed under: uncultured bacterium
Lineage: Bacteria
Description: partial 16S ribosomal RNA
Rfam family: Bacterial small subunit ribosomal RNA
Source: RNAcentral
GACGAACGCUGGCGGCGUGCUUAACACAUGCAAGUCGAACGGAAAGGCCCUGCUUUUGUGGGGUGCUCGAGUGGCGAACGGGGGAGUAACACGUGAGUAACCUGCCCUUGACUUUGGGAUAACUUCAGGAAACUGGGGCUAAUACCGGAUAGGAGCUCCUGCUGCAUGGUGGGGGUUGGAAAGUUUCGGCGGUUGGGGAUGGACUCGCGGCUUAUCAGCUUGUUGGUGGGGUAGUGGCUUACCAAGGCUUUGACGGGUAGCCGGCCUGAGAGGGUGACCGGCCACAUUGGGACUGAGAUACGGACCAGAAUCCUACGGGAGGCAGCAGGGGGGAAUAUUGCACAAUGGGCGGAAGCCUGAUGCAGAAACGCCGCGUGCGGGAUGACGGCCUUCGGGUUGUAAACCGCUUUCGCCUGUGACGAAGCGUGAGUGACGGUAAUGGGUAAAGAAGCACCGGCUAACUACGUG